AUUUUAAUACUUAUUAAUAUUUUAUUAAUAUUUUUAUUUAAAAGAAAAAAUUUUUUUUGAAUUAAUUUAAUGAAACAUUUAAUUUUAUUAUAGAUUAAUGGUACUGUGAGGGAUGGUUGAAAUAUUUUGACAAAAAUAAAUAUAUAAAAGAAAAAUUAAUUUUUUGUACCUUUUGCAUCAGGGUUAAUUAAAAUUAAUAAAAUAAUUUUGUUUUCUCGAAUAAAGAAGAGCUAAAAUUGUAUACAUUUUAUUGUUGAAUAAAUACUUAAAAUUCAAUUUUUGGAGCGAAACGUUAUUCGUUUCUUUAUAUAUCUAGUUUUUAGAGAAAUGAAUUUAAUUUUGCUGGUGAGUUAAAUAUAAUUAAUUUUUUAAUUUUAUUUAUUCGUUAUGUUAUAAAUUUAGGGAUAAGCUUAGAUUUAAAUGUUUAUAAAUUAAUACAAAUAAAUAAUCUGUAGAAUUAAAAUUUUUUUUCAUUAAAAAAAUGUUAUAAUUAAUUAUUAAUUUUUGAUAUUUUUAUUUUUUUUAAAUUUUUUAUCUAAAAAUUUGCUUUAUUAAUUUUUGUUAAGAUAUAAUGAUUAAAUUAGUAUAAUAAUUUUUAUUUUUAUAUAAGUUUGCAAGGUUAAAUUAAGGAAUUCGGCAAAUUUAUUUUUUACCUGUUUAAUAAAAACAUGUCUUUUUGAAUAUAAUUGAAAGUCUGGCCUGCUCAAUGAAUAUUAAAUAGCUGCGGUAUUUUGACCGUACAAAGGUAGCAUAAUCAAUAGUUUUUUAAUUGAAAACUGGAAUGAAGGGUUUGAUAAAAAAAUAACUGUCUCAGUUUAAUUUAUUUGUAAUUUUAUUUUUAAGUUCAAAAGCUUAAAUUAAUUUAAAAGACGAGAAGACCCUGUAGAGUUUAAUUUUUUCAUAAUUUUAUUUUUUUAGAAUUAAUAAGAUAUUUUUUUGCAAAAAUUGGAUUGGGGUGAUUGAAAAAUUUGAUAAACUUUUUUUUAUUGUUUCAAUAAUUAUUGUUUAAUUGAUCCAUAAAAAUGAUUAAAAGACUAAAUUACCUUAGGGAUAACAGCGUAAUUUUUUUUGAGAGUUCUAAUCGAAAAAAGAGAUUGCGACCUCGAUGUUGGAUUAAAAUUAAUAUUUGGUGAAGAAGCUAAAUUAUUAGGUCUGUUCGACCUUUAAAAUUUUACAUGAUCUGAGUUUAAACCGGUGUAAGCCAGGUUGGUUUCUAUCUUUAAAUUAUUAAAAUGCUUUAGUACGAAAGGACCAGGUAUUUAAUUUAAAAUUUUAUAUUUUGAAUAUUAAU
RNAcentral lists this ribosomal RNA (1291 nucleotides) under Cucujoidea sp. 40 KM-2017. RNAcentral's name for it is "16S ribosomal RNA". The stretch from base 1050 to 1208 matches the Rfam family "Archaeal large subunit ribosomal RNA", at positions 2542 to 2701 of the family's 2987-position model. Lineage: Eukaryota; Metazoa; Arthropoda; Insecta; Coleoptera. The record is from RNAcentral.